ACGCUCGACACCUACGAGAGGCAGCAGUGGGGAAUAUUGCACAAUGGGGGAAACCCUGAUGCAGCGACGCCGCGUGAAGGAAGAAGUAUCUCGGUAUGUAAACUUCUAUCAGCAGGGAAGAAAGUGACGGUACCUGACUAAGAACGCCCCGGCUAACUACGUGCCAGCAGCCGCGGUAAUCUGAGCGGGCUGGCAAGGC
RNAcentral lists this ribosomal RNA (199 nucleotides) under uncultured bacterium. RNAcentral describes it as "partial 16S ribosomal RNA". It matches the Rfam family "Bacterial small subunit ribosomal RNA", at positions 328 to 539 of the family's 1533-position model. The record is from RNAcentral.